AGAAUCACUCACCUGGUGUCUGGACUCACUGAGGUUCAGGGUCUUUGUGUCUCAAGCAGAAGGAAUUCAGCAAGAGACAAAGUGAUAGGCAAGAAGGAUUUAUUAAGAUAGGAUACUUGUGAGAGAUACAAGUGAGCAGGCAAAGAUGCUCAGCCUCGAACAUUAGGUGGGCUACAUUUUUAUAAUCCAAGGAAAGUGGAAGGGGAAUAUACCGCCUUCCUCCUCUUUCGUCUAGUAGACGUCAGGCUUACAGCAUUAGCUCCUCCUUCAAGUCCAAUAAGAGAGUAUUUGACUCUCUGAGGUCAAACUAAGACCUUCAUGGUUGUUAUUCAAAUCAGCAAAGGGGUGGUAACCUAUGCUAAAAUAUGUUGGAUCAUCUCAGCUUUCCCUAUCAUGAGGGUCUCCGCCUUUGGAAGGUCAUCUGUCCCUUAAAUGCCUGUCCUUGGUCCCAAGGAUCAUUAUCUUGCUGAACUUGAAUGCAGGCUUCAUUUCAUCUUUCACUUAAUGACCUGAGGCAUAUCUUGUGCUUUUAUUUGUGGUUUUACAGGUAAGCAAGCCUGCUUCAUUCCAUGGAUGUUCUGAUGGCUUUUCUUGAGCAAUUAACAACUUACAGUGGUCUCCCAAAGUUCCCUAGGUUUCCUUCUCUAGCUGUGGUCCCCUACUGGGACUCCUACAACUACCUGUGUAAGGUUCCUACUCCUUCCCUAUCACUAUGAUUAAACAAAUGGACUUAUUUAAAAGCAUGCAGCACAGAGCUUGGUCCAGAGGAGGAGCCGAGUAAAUGCCACCUAAAGAUUCCAUUGUCCCCUUUUGGACUGCAGCCUCCAUGAAAGCAGCGUCUGUAGCAGCUUUGCUGACCCUGGCAUCCUAGUACCCGGCAAAGCCCGGCACAUAUAGGCACUCAAAUAAAUGCGAGCGAGUGAAUGAAGGUGAUCCCAGAGCCCUCUGCCCCUGCUCAGAGAACAAAUCACCUUGGGCUAAAACUGAACAUUGAGAUCUCAGCCCCAAGAAAGCCAAGACCAGCUGUGAUGCUCAAAGCAUAUCUGAGGGCUACAGUUCAAGACUAGACCCAACACUAAUCAUUCAGGGGUUGGCUGAAUGAACAGGCUUGGGGUCAGAUAUGGGGGUUUUGGUAGGGGACCUUAGGCAAGUUAUUUCUUCUCCCUGAGCCCCAGUUUCUCACGCCAUGGGGAGUGAUGGACUAAAUGAGACUGCAGGUGUAAAAUCCUUAACACAAUGCCAGGCACAAAGUAAUUGCUCCGCAGAUAGCUAGUUCUUAUUAUUAGGAUCAUUAAGAAUCAUCAAGAGAGUUCUCCUGUGGCGCAGUGGGUUAAGGAUCUGGCAUCGUCACUGCAAAGCUUAGGUUGCUGCAGUGGCGCAGGUUCUAUCCCUGGCCCACAACUUUCACAUGCCACAGGUGCGGCCAAAAAAAGAAAGAAAAAGAAGAAUCACCAAAAAUGGGUGCUCAGGACGGGUUUGCAUCCCAUUAAGCCAUGAGGAGCAUUGGCCUCUUGUCUCCAUUCCCAUGGGAGCACAAGACUGCCUUCCUGCCCUUUAUGCAAAAAGACAAAGGCAUGUAUGAGGCAGGCUGGAGCAAAGAGCUCUGUAGGAGACAGGGAAGGUGAAAUCGACUUCAUUUUCAUUCAUCUUCCUUGGGCUCUUUCAUCUGACACUGGCAACAGAGCUUUAAGCAUUUGAUAUUGGCUUGUCCUGAUUCAUUACCCAGCCUCUCCCCAUACACCCACCUCUGCUGGCUGACUGGCAACGCUUGGCUCCAGAUGGACCUGAUCAGAACUUAAGGGCUCAGCGCCGCCUGGAAAGCACCUGGGUUGCCGCUCUGCCGCUGCGUGCCUCGCCUUGCCGAGCUGUUUCCUCCCCUGAUUCCCUCUUUCCUCCCAGCCCUCCAGCCCUUCACUGUCCUGUGGCAAGGACCGACGGGUAAUGGCUUUUAAAACACCAAACUGCAUCAAGUACAAGGGCUGCUGCUGCGAGUCCCAUCUUCAGCAAGGAAUUUUCCCCUGUUUGGUUUGGAUGUCCAGUGGAGCAUUAGACAGCAGUUUAAUCAUUAUUACCGGUGCUGCACUGCGACUCUCAGGAGAAGCACUAAACUAGAAUGAAAAGGAACUGACAUAAUUAGUCUGACACAGUUCAAUAGGGAACUAUUACACCAAAGGUAAUGAGCUCCAAUGAUAUGUUAAUGUUAUUGUAAGAAAUUAUGCCCGUGCAACAAAGUGGCUUUCAGGUGGGUGGGGGCGGAGGGGGGGAGAAUUUUCCCAGGCAAUAGGCUAAGGGACAAAGAAAGGAAAAGGCUCACAAAAGCUCCUUUUCUUUCUCCCCGACUUUUCUCUGGUCCCUGGGGACAGAGGAUCUGUUAUGGGCCCUGCAGGAUGCGGCAGGGGCCACAGAGGCAGUGCUGCUGGUGCUGUCGAUAUGCACAAGUGGCUGGAUAUUUGUUCAACUAGGAAAAUAAAAAGCUCAAGAAAAUUACUCUGAGCACUAAAAAUCGAUGGCGGGAUAAUGUAAGAACAGUCCCUUAGAGUUGUUCAACGCUACACGGUUUACCACGUAGUUUCACGGCCCUCAGGAGAAGUAAGGGUACAGUCAGAAGACAAGGACUCUGCCAUGUACUACUAAAUCACAGCCCUCGUCAAUUAACUUAGCAUCUGUGGGCCUCAGUCUCCUCGCCUCCAACAUGGGAACAAGGAUGCCUACAUUCCAAGUUCCCUGGUGGCCUAGUGGUUAAGGAUCCAGCAUCGUCCCUGAUGUGGCUCAGGUUUGAUCCCUGGCCGGGGAAUUUCCACAUGCCAUGGGCACAGCCAAAAAAAAAAAAAGGAUACCUACCUUCAAAGUUGAAAUACUGGCAUUCCUGUUGAGGUUCAGUGUGUUAAGAACCCGACUAGUAUCCGUGAGGGUGCAGGUUCAAUCCCUGGCCUUGCUCCGUGGGUUAAGGAUCCAGCGUUGCCACAAGCUGUAGUGUAGGUUGCAGAUGCAGUUCAAAUCCUGUAUUGCUGUGGCUGCGAUAUAGGCCAUCAGCUGCUCCAAUUCAACCCCUAAUCUGGCAAUUUCCAUAUGCCGCAGGUGUGGCCCUAAAAAGAAAAAAAAGAAAAAAAGUUGAAAUCCUGCUUGUGAAGCUCCCAUUACACAGCAGGCACAUGAUAAAAUGAAGUUAAUACUGUGCCCAUGAGUUGUCUGUAUAUCUGGGCAAGGUUUACAAAGCCCAACUCUUGAUGAGUAUAAAACAUUCACUAGAAAUUACGGAUUAACAUUCAGCCUCAGAAGAGGGAACAUAAACAGCCUUGUCCCAAACCAGCAAAUGCCGACAUUUCCAAAACCUAAAAUAGUGAAUUAACCCCCAUCUUUCGUGUUGACUGGCAUCUUGGCUAAAGUUGGUGUGACACCUGUUAGGAUGGCUCUUAUCCUAAAGACAAAAGAAGCAAGCGUUGGCCAGGAUGUGGAAGAGGGACCCCUUAUGCACUGUGGGAGGGAAUGUAAAUUGGUACAGUCUUUAUGGAAAACAGCAUGGGGACUCCUCAAAAAAUUAAAAAUAGAACUAUCGUAUGAUCCAGAAAUUCCACAUCUGAGUAUAGAACCAAAGGAAAUAAAACCCCUAUCUCAAAAAAGAUAACUGUACUCCCACGUUCACUACAGUAUUACUCAUAAUAGCCAAAACAUAGAGACAACCUGUGUCCAUCAACAGAUAAAGAAAAUGUGGGAGUUCCCUCUGUGGUUGAGCGGCUUAAGAACCCUACACAGUUUCUAAGAGAAUUCGAGUUCCAUGCCUGGCCUCACUCAGUGGGUUGCCACAAACUGCAGUGCAGGUCACAGAUGCAGCUUGGAUCUGGCAAUGCUGUGGCUGUGGGAGAGGCUGGCAGCUGCAGUUCUGGUUUGACCCCUGGCCAGAGACGGAACCCGCAACGUCACGGACACUAGUUGGAUUCUUAACCCGCUGAGCCACAGUGGAAACUCCCAGGGCACCUGCUAUUAAGUUUCCUCUUUGCCCCUCAACUACCUGGGGGUCCCUACAGAUGCCUUCCCUUCUCUGGGCCUCAGUCUCUGCACCUGUAGUGAGGGUGCUGAACUGUGCACACACUGAGAUCCCUUCCAGCUCUGACACUCGGAGACCCUAAGGAGCUGGGAGGACAGGGAGAAGGGACAACAGAGGCCCAGGGUAUGUGGCCUUUGUCCAUCCUGCCUUCCCUCCUCUCUGGCUCUGGCUGGGGAGGUGGAGCCCCAGCUGCUCCAGGGAGACCAGCGUCCAUUUGUUCCCUGCAGAUCCCCCAGCCAGGUCGAGCUGCUGAUAGAAUUUCAGAUGCUUAGUCAUACUUUUUUGAGUAAAUAUCAUGGUAAAAAGACAUGACAUUUCCGGGGCCGGUCUUCGGCAUUAAUAAAAGAUUCCAAGAACAGGGUGACCUUUUCACAAAGGAUUUGUAAAUGCCAAAAACUACAUAAAACCUCUCUUUCUGAGGCAGACAGGAUUGUCACAGCUCAGCAUUUAUUCCUCACAUGUGAGGCCAGCUCCUUUUUUCUCCCAGAUCCGUGUGCUGGCUGAUGAGAAGCUGUGGGGGGGGGGGGGGGGGGGGGGGGGGGGGGGGGGGGAGGGGAGGAGGAGGAGGGAGGAGAGGACGAAGAGGUGAGAAUGGAAAAGGAGAAGAGAGAAGAGGAAGAGCAGAGAGCAGGGCAGGACCCACCCUGGAUCAGUGUGGGCCCUUGUGGGACCUCUAGGACACUUUGUCCCAUUGGGAGGGAAGCAC
This 4751-nucleotide long non-coding RNA is filed under the name Sus scrofa (pig). RNAcentral's name for it is "lncRNA (ENSSSCG00030058659.1)". Lineage: Eukaryota; Metazoa; Chordata; Mammalia; Artiodactyla; Suidae. The record is from RNAcentral.